RNAcentral lists this ribosomal RNA (3042 nucleotides) under Triticum aestivum (bread wheat). RNAcentral's name for it is "partial small subunit ribosomal RNA". The record is from RNAcentral. Lineage: Eukaryota; Viridiplantae; Streptophyta; Magnoliopsida; Poales; Poaceae.
AUGCUUUCAGGAUCCCAGCAAAGAAAGAAGCUGAUAAUGAUGGAGAUACCUAGCGUUUUCGGUCCCAGAGAUAGGUCCAUCACUCUCUACGAGGGCAUCAAUCAUCAUCCAGAUCCAGAUUCCAUUUUCAGGAGUAAGACCGUCGCACAGCUGGGAUGUGGCAAUGGUUGGAUAUCCAUUGCGCUUACAGAAAAAUGGUGCCCUUCCAAGGUCUAUGGUCUGGAUAUUAACCCAAGGGCAAUCAAGAUUGCAUGGAUAAAUCUUUAUUUGAAUGCACUAGACGACGAUGGUCUUCCAAUUUACGACAGGGAGGGGAAAACACUACUUGAUAGAGUUGAAUUCCAUGAAUCUGAUCUUCUUUUUUACUGUAGAGACAACAAGAUAGAACUUGAUAGCAUUGUUGGAUGCAUACCGCAGAUUCUUAAACCCAGUCCAGAGGCAAUGUCAAAGAUUAUCACUGAAAAUUUAAGCAAGGAGUUCGGGAACAUUUUCCGGACCUCCGGACCCCUCCGGGGUUUUGUGGAGGACCAAUUUGGCCUCGGGUUGAUUGCUCGGGCAGUUGAAGAAGGGAUGGCUGUCAUAAAGCCUACGGGUACUAUGAUAUUCAACGUGGGAGGCCGACCAGGUCAAGGUGUCUGUGAAUGCCUAUUUCUACGCCGUGGAUUUCGCAUCACUAAGCUCCGGCAAACAAAAAUUAUGCAGGCUGCGAACACAGAUAUUUCAGCCUUAGUUGAAUUUGAGAAAAAUAGCCCGCAUCGCUUUGAGUUCUUCAUGGGUUCUGUGGGGGAUCAGCCCAUUUCUGCACGCACUGCCUUGGCGUACAUGAAAUCUGGUGGCCAUGUUUCACAUGCUUUGUCCGUGGAUAGCUGUCAACUUCGCCAACCCAACCAGGUGAAUAAACUAAUUGAGAUACUUAAAAAUGGAUUCCAUGAACUCAGCAGGUCCCUUGAUUUGUCCUUCGCUGAUGAUUCUAGUGCCCAUGAAAAGAUCACAUUCCUAGUAUACCUAGCUAGUUUCUUAAAUGCAAACAAGCCGAAUCCUUGUCAACCUCCAGCUGAAUGAUUGAACUUCCGGAAUCUUGUUGCUGAAUUUAUUAAGAGCUACCACUACAUCCCAUUAAAUGCUGAUAAUUUUGUUGUAUUCCCUUCCCGUGCGGUGGCAGUCGAAAAUUAUCUUCGACUGUUCUCACCAGCGCUUGCAAUUGUUGAUGAACAUUUGACCAGGCACUUGCCCAUGCAAUGGUUAGGAUAUUCAGAAAUCGAGGGAAGAAUAGAUUGCAACAAUGCUGAAGGCGUGAUCACUGUAAUUGAAGCACCACGCCAAUCAGAUUUACUGAUUGAGUUGGUCAGAAAACUGAAGCCUCAGGUUGUCGUUACUAGCAUUACCCAGUUUGAGGCUAUCACCAGUGCUGCUUUCUCGGACAUACUAAGCGCAACAGAAGAUGUUGGUUGCCGGUUGUUCCUAGAUAUUUCAGAGAACCUGGAGUGGUCUUGUCUGCCAAGCUCAAAUGGUGUGUUGAAAUAUCUUGUUGGAAACACCCUACCUUCACAUGCGGCUAUAUUGUGGGGUCUAGUAAAAAACCAGGUUUAUUCUGAUCUGGAAGUUGCUUUUGCCAUUUCUGAGGAUGCUUCUGUCUGCAAGGCAUUGUCACAAACAAUUGAGCUAUUGGAAGGAAAUACUUCUGUGAUCAGCCAGCAAUAUUAUGGCUCUCUUUUCCAUGAGCUGCUGGCGUUUCAAAUUGGUGACCGUCAUCAGCAUGCACAUCAAGUGGCGGCAGAAAAGAUACCUGAGAAGAUGAUACAGUUUUCUAAUUCAGCCAUGUCUACCCUAAAAGAAGCUGAAUUUUUCACUCCUGAUUCCAAGGAUUCUAGUGUCAUUCAUAUGGAUUUAGACCGCAGCUUCUUACCAGUACCUUCUCCACUGGGCGCCUCCAUUUUAGAAAGUUUUGCUCGGCGGAACAUCAUGGAUUUUGAAACUGACGUUCGUUCCAGCAUCGAACAGCUGGUGGGAGAUAACUAUGGUUUCCCAGGAGACAGUAAGGAAAUUAUAUAUGGCAGGCUGGCAGCACCUACACUCUUCAACAAGCUUGUCCUUUGCUGUAUGAGGGAGCAAGGCGCCUUCCUUUUCCCCAUGGGCACCAAUGGGCACUAUGUCUCGGCAGCAAAGUUUAUGAACGCAAAAACAUUGACGAUUCCAACAAAUGUAGGUUCAGGCUUCAAGAUUGAACCGACCGCUCUACGAGCAGCUCUGGAGAAUGUACAUUGGCCAUGGGUGUAUAUUUCUGGCCCUACAGUUAACCCUUCCGGUUCCCUGUACAGUGAUGAGGAGAUAAAAGAUUUACUUUCUGUUUGUGCCGAACAUGGAGCUAGGGUAGUGAUAGACACCUCCUUCUCUGGUCUGGAGUUCCAAACCGGAGAUGGCUGCAGCCUGUGGAAUUUGGAUAGUUUUUCUUAUAAUAUUGCUUCAUGUCUCGCACUCCGCGUUUUUAUGCUCAGGGAGCUGUCCCUUCAGCUGACCAUGAGUGGGUUUGACUUCGGGUUUAUGAUUUACAUUGACCCGUCCUUGAUCAAACAUAUGUUAACAAGCCUGAGUCAACCACAUCGCACAUUGAAGUAUACUUUCAGAAAACUGUUGUGUCUUAAGAACAAGAGGGACCAGCGCUUCUCUGAUCUCAUCAAGGAGCAAAAGGAAACACUGAAGCAUCGUGCCGACAAGUUGACUAAGACACUCGAGAGCUGUGGCUGGGAUGUCGUCGGCUGCCAUGGUGGUAUCUCAAUGCUGGCGAAACCGAUGGCCUACAUCGGCAAAUCGUUCAAGAUAGAUACUUUCGAAGGUGAGCUCGAUGGCUGCAACAUCAGGGAAGCGCUCCUUAGAUCCACUGGGCUCUGCAUAUCCAGCAGCAAGUGGACUGGGAUACCGGACUACUGCCGGUUCAGCUUUGCUCUCGAGAGCAGCGAAUUCGACCAGGCAAUGGACUGCAUAACUCGGUUCAGGGAGUUGGUUCUAAGAGAAUAUGUACAGAUGAAUGUUAGUAGUAGCUAG